AUUGAACGCUGGCGGCAGGCCUAACACAUGCCAGUCGAGCGGAUGAAGGGAGCUUGCUCCUGGAUUCAGCGGCGGACGGGUGAGUAAUGCCUAGGAAUCUGCGUGGUAGUGGGGGAUAACGGCCGGAAACGGGCGCUAAUACCGCAUACGUCCUGAGGGAGAAAGAGGGGGAUCUUCGUACCUCACGCUAUCAGAUGAGCCUAGGGCGGAUUAGCUAGUUGGUGGGGUGAAGGCCUACCAAGGCGACGAUCCGUAACUGGUCUGAGAGGAUGAUCAGUCACACUUGAACUGAGACACGGUCCAGACUCCUACGGGAGGCAGCAGUGGGGAAUAUUGGACGAUGGGCGAAAGCCUGAUCCAGACAUGCCGCGUGUGUGAAGAAGGUCUUCGGAUUGUAAAGCACUUUAAGUUGGGAGGAAGGGCAGUAAGUUAAUACCUUGCUGUUUUGACGGUACCAACAGAAUAAGCACCGGCUAACUUCGUG
This 484-nucleotide ribosomal RNA is filed under the name uncultured bacterium. RNAcentral's name for it is "partial 16S ribosomal RNA". It matches the Rfam family "Bacterial small subunit ribosomal RNA", at positions 30 to 507 of the family's 1533-position model. The record is from RNAcentral.